Molecule: ribosomal RNA, 271 nt
Filed under: uncultured archaeon
Lineage: Archaea
Description: partial 16S ribosomal RNA
Rfam family: Archaeal small subunit ribosomal RNA
Source: RNAcentral
AUUAGAUACCCGGGUAGUCCCAGCCGUAAACGAUACUCGCUAGGUGUCGGCCACGGUGCGACCGUGGUCGGUGCCGUAGGGAAGCCGUGAAGCGAGCCACCUGGGAAGUACGGCCGCAAGGCUGAAACUUAAAGGAAUUGGCGGGGGAGCACCACAACGGGUGGAGCUUGCGGUUUAAUUGGAUUCAACGCCGGAAAUCUUACCGGGACCGACAGCAAUAUGAAGGCCAGGCUGAAGACUUUGCCAGAUUAGCUGAGAGGAGGUGCAUGGC